RNAcentral lists this non-coding RNA (24 nucleotides) under Cricetulus griseus (Chinese hamster). The record is from RNAcentral. Lineage: Eukaryota; Metazoa; Chordata; Mammalia; Rodentia; Cricetidae.
CGGACAGCACACAAACAACCAGAG